RNAcentral lists this ribosomal RNA (620 nucleotides) under uncultured bacterium. RNAcentral's name for it is "bacterial SSU rRNA". It matches the Rfam family "Bacterial small subunit ribosomal RNA", at positions 434 to 1069 of the family's 1533-position model. The record is from RNAcentral.
UCAGCAGGGACGAAGCGAGAGUGACGGUACCUGCAGAAGAAGCACCGGCCAACUACGUGCCAGCAGCCGCGGUAAUACGUAGGGUGCAAGCGUUGUCCGGAAUUAUUGGGCGUAAAGAGCUCGUAGGCGGUUCGUCGCGUCGGCUGUGAAAACCCGGAGCUCAACUCCGGGCCUGCAGUCGAUACGGGCGGACUUGAGUGUUGCAGGGGAGACUGGAAUUCCUGGUGUAGCGGUGAAAUGCGCAGAUAUCAGGAGGAACACCGGUGGCGAAGGCGGGUCUCUGGGCAACUACUGACGCUGAGGAGCGAAAGCGUGGGGAGCGAACAGGAUUAGAUACCCUGGUAGUCCACGCCGUAAACGUUGGGCGCUAGGUGUGGGGGCCAUUCCACGGUCUCCGUGCCGCAGCUAACGCAUUAAGCGCCCCGCCUGGGGAGUACGGCCGCAAGGCUAAAACUCAAAGGAAUUGACGGGGGCCCGCACAAGCGGCGGAGCAUGUUGCUUAAUUCGAUGCAACGCGAAGAACCUUACCUAGGCUUGACAUGCACGGAAAUCUCGCAGAGAUGCGGGGUCCGUAAGGGCCGUGCACAGGUGGUGCAUGGUUGUCGUCAGCUCGUGUCGUG